AACAUUUUUAAUGCCUAAAUAAAAUUUAAACCUAUUUAGCAAUAUUGAUUAUGUUCAGUAAGGAAAAGUAUUUUCUUAGAGAUAAGUUUCCACUGUGAGUUAAGCAUUUCCAGUUAGAGAAUUCCUCAAAGGGUCAGGUCUGAAGUUCACAUCAUGGUGAAUACAGAAAACCUAAUACAGCUCCAGAGAAAAUUUCUCAUAAUAUUCAAAAUCUGUUCGCAAUAAGCAGAAGUAAAAUAAUUUCAAUUUUCACCCAGGAUAGGGAACGUGAUUUUUAACCAGGUUGAGGCAAAUAUUUUCCCCUGAAAUAACUAGAGAUGCAUCCUGCUUAUCUUCAAGUAGCUACUCUAGUUCCCUGAAACUGAGGAGGUGAGGUCCAGCGUCCAACAUGGUGCCCAAGUGACAGUCCCAGAAAACCCCAGAUCCAAGACUGAUCCCAGGAUGAGACAACACAGAAUCUAGCCCUGCUCCUGUUCUCAUG
Molecule: non-coding RNA, 481 nt
Organism: Ceratotherium simum simum (southern white rhinoceros)
Lineage: Eukaryota; Metazoa; Chordata; Mammalia; Perissodactyla; Rhinocerotidae
Source: RefSeq, a predicted model, not a curated record